Molecule: ribosomal RNA, 468 nt
Filed under: uncultured bacterium
Lineage: Bacteria
Description: partial 16S ribosomal RNA
Rfam family: Bacterial small subunit ribosomal RNA
Source: RNAcentral
GAUGAACGCUGGCGGCGUGCUUAACACAUGCAAGUCGAACGGAAAGGCCCUGCUUUUGUGGGGUGCUCGAGUGGCGAACGGGUGUGUAACACGUGAGUAACCUGCCCUUGACUUUGGGAUAACUUCAGGAAACUGGGGCUAAUACCGGAUAGGAGCUCCUGCUGCAUGGUGGGGGUUGGAAAGUUUCGGCGGUUGGGGAUGGACUCGCGGCUUAUCAGCUUGUUGGUGGGGUAGUGGCUUACCAAGGCUUUGACGGGUAGCCGGCCUGAGAGGGUGACCGGCCACAUUGGGACUGAGAUACGGCCCAGACUCCUACGGGAGGCAGCAGUGGGGAAUAUUGCACAAUGGGCGGAAGCCUGAUGCAGCAACGCCGCGUGCGGGAUGACGGCCUUCGGGUUGUAAACCGCUUUCGCCUGUGACGAAGCGUGAGUGACGGUAACGGGUAAAGAAGCACCGGCUAACUACGUG